AUGGGCAAGUUCAUGAAACCCCGGGAAAGGGGUGCUGGUCCUGGCCAGACGCUACUCCGGAUGGAAAGCAGUCAUCGUGAAGAACAUUGAUGAUGGCACUUUAGACCGUCCCUACAGCCAUGCUCUGGUGGCAGGAAUUGGCCGCUAUCCCCGCAAAGUGACAGCUGUCACGGGCAAGAAGAAGAUCGCCAAGCGAUCAAAGAUCAAGUCUUUUGUGAAAGUUUAUAACUACAGUCACCUCAUGCCCACAAGGUACUCUAUGGAUAUACCCUUGGACAAAGCUGUCGUCAACAAGGGUGUCUUCAGAGACCCUGCUCUUAAACGCAAGGCCCGACGGGAGGCCAAGGUCAAGUUUGAAGAGAGGCACAAGACGGGUAAGAAUAAGUGGUUCUUCCAGAAGCUGCGAUUUUAA
Microcebus murinus (gray mouse lemur) is the source of this 412-nucleotide non-coding RNA. The record is from RefSeq and is a predicted model, not a curated record. NCBI's taxonomy places the organism in Eukaryota, Metazoa, Chordata, Mammalia, Primates, Cheirogaleidae.